Peromyscus californicus insignis is the source of this 2892-nucleotide long non-coding RNA. RefSeq lists it as uncharacterized. The record is from RefSeq and is a predicted model, not a curated record. The transcript is spliced from 9 exons. NCBI's taxonomy places the organism in Eukaryota, Metazoa, Chordata, Mammalia, Rodentia, Cricetidae.
UCCCUGGUGACCCCUGUGAAAGGGUCAUUCAACCCCCACAGGGGGGUCUCCAGACCCACAGGUUGAGAACCACUGGUUUAGAUGCAUCUCCCGUGAAGGACCUCAGCUGCAGGUUUGUGCUAGCACUCUGCCCCUGGAGCAAAGAACUGAAGAUGGCUCAGCAUCCCAGAGAGCUCUCAGACUAUCGGAAAGUAACUCCCUGACAGAAGUGAUGUCAGCAACAAGAAAAAACAGCAGGGUUUCCACUGGAAACAGAGACCCAGACAAACGCACAGGCAGGACGACAAGGCUUCAUUUCCUUCACGUGGCAGUGAAUUAACCAUGCAAAUGACAAAAGUGAUGGCAUCCGCAUGGGUUUGACGAGGCGAUCACCUCUUACAGUUCCUUUUCUGGAUCACCACCAUCACGCCUUCUCCCUUUCCCUACAAGUUACCCCAUUCACAUCUUUCUGGGUUUUUUGUUUGUUUGUUUCUACUGAGUUUAAUCAAGGCCUUCGGUGCUCACUAAUUGGUACUGAAAGCAAUGACUUCACCUCUCCCAGAAUCUACCAGCAGCCAAUAGUUGAAGAGUAAAAGAUGAUUUAGAGAAAAGUCACCUCAUGAACGUACAGAUCCAAAACAGCAGGAUCUCCAAGACACAGGAUAACAGGAUAACCAAGAGCAGCCCCAUUAAGGGCCCAUUAUCAAUGGUGUAGGGAAGCCAGAGGACUCCAGCCAGACCAAUGGCCGCAAGGACUCCUGGGACUGAACACUUUCAAGUAAAGAUGACUGGACUAAAGAUUCCCUGGACCCAACAGACAGAUGGAAAGAACUGACUCCAUCAAGGUAUCCUCUGACCUCUGAGAAUACACUGUGACAUAUACUUUUGUAAUGAGAAAAAUGACCAAAAAUGAAAACCGAGUUUUAAAAGCACAGAUGAAAUACUAUGCUCCAUAUGAGAGUGAAGAUGUUGUCUUCUCCCCUCCUCAUAGUGUUCUGAUGGAGAGAAGCAGAUGCUAACCUGGAUCCAUGCACUGAUUUACUCUAUACUCCAAGGAAGGUGAUAACUUGAACACAAGGACACAGAGAGCUAAGGAUCUUGCAUCUCUCAACUGUGUUUUAAGAGCCGUCUUGUGAAGCAAGCACGGCAAAUGUGACCUCUUCAGUGCAUGUAAAUAAGAAGAAUACUAAGAAUAACGUGUCGCCAAAAAAAAUGAUCAUUAGUGUGGAGUGUUCACUUCACCGCGCAACUGGCUUUUGCACAGCACAGGACUUUGGGGGAGACACAUCACGAGGUCAACAUCCUCCUUUGUGUUGGUAACAGAAAUACAGCCGGGUCCUGAAAGAAUUGCUAGGAAGCAUUUGCAAAGCCUCCUAAUCAGCGAGAAGUGCUCCCAAGGAAACUUUAUACUAGUAAACUCAGCAGUUUUUCCUCUUGAUUUAAACAGCAUCUCUGGCAAAGAACAGGGCUUCCUACUUGGUCAUGGAAUAUUCCAGGAACUUGUAAAAUAACGAGUGGGAGGAUGUGGGAGUUACAGGCAAACGCAGAAGGAGCAGCUUCGUUUAGAUAAGGUUUAAGGAGACUUGCUUCCCCAUUCAGAUUUUCCUGCUACCAUUUCUCCCUCCGCCUUAUAGCUUCUAGAACUCUUCCAUGAGUGAAUCUCUAAAGCAUAUACAGGAAAUUAGGAUGAAGAGUCUAUUAAGAAUUCACCCCGAAUACAGGAAACUAAUAUAAACUGGAUAAUAGAAUUGAAACAAAGUGAAAUAAAAAAGGCAGAACAGGGAAAAUACCAUCCAUGCAGACACAACCAGUUCAGUUGAUAGAUAAGCAAGACUUUGAACAGUUGACACAUACAUAGCAGUAAAUUCUCUCUAAAUAGUUCUCCAUAAAUUUAGCUAUAUAGUUUCGAGAUUUGAACACAGACAGACCUGUGCUGGAAAAUUAAGUCUUAAAUCUAUGUGACUUGUUGCAGAAAACUAUUUACCCUGCUUCCUGUGAUAUACAACUCACGUUUUCCUUUUCUGGCUGCAGGAAAGGGAAUAGCAAGAAAGGAAGAAGGAUGUUAAGUGUGGGGCUAAACAGUACAAAACAAUUUGUCCACAAGUAGCCAUCCUACCAGGCACAGAGAGACACAGAGUAGACUGGCAGAGCAAGAUAUUCAAGUUUUACCACUGAAGAGCUUUGAAAAAAAAAAUCACAUCUCUGUCCAUUUAAGUGUUCUCCUGACCCAGGGAUAUGCUCAUUUGCUUUCAUAUAAACAAUCCUAAAAUUUUGACUUGGAAAUGACAAAGGACGUCUGACUUGUGAAUAUAACCAGCAAUGGGGCAUGGAUCCCUUCAGGGCUAGUACCCAUUCCAGUACACUGCCAUGCUUGGAUGGUCAAGACUAUUCUCCUCUGACAGAGCUCAAGGACCGCUCCCCAGCAGAGCUCGUUGAAGUGCUAGCAAAUCUGGAACAUCUUGUGCGAAUGAAGAAAAUGCUCUUCCUUUCCUGAAAUGUGGGAGUCAUACGGUAGCAAGUCUUUAGCAGCCCCUACUUUAGUGCUCUGCAGCAGCCUGUCAACUUCAACAAGGGGGAAGCCUCAAGUCACCUGGACUUGUUUUAAAAUUGCCCAACCAGAAUAUUGCUUUCUGGCUGUUGGGUUUCAGGCACAGGUGAGUCUCACUAAUGAGCAAUUUCAGACUCAUCAACGAGGAAAGUAGGCCUGUGCUCCAGAGGAUGCAGUUCUGAGUACGCAUGGUGCUCCUCUUCAGUCCCUUACGAGGCCCUGAUGUUUUUCCCUCCUUCCUCUUCUAAUUGCCUUUGCUUACCACACAUCGCUUGCUUUCCUUGGCUAUAACCCAGUCAUUCGCUUUGAAUUCUACCUCAUGUUUGCUUGGUGUCGUUUUUCAAAUAGAGAUCUUCACCACCCUG